NNCCCAAACCCCCUCCCCCCAGCAACCCUCAGUUUGUUUUGUGAGAUUAAGAGUCACUUAUGGUUUGUCUCCCUCCCAAUCCCAUCUUGUUUCAUUUAGAAGAAUCAGCAAAUUUAACAGUAGGGCCGUUGUGGGCAGCAUGCGGAAAGCAGCCACCUGUCAGUCUGACAGCAGGUAUAAUACCAUCUCCAUUCCAUUGCUUACUGAUUUCAAGAAGAAAAGAGACUUUUAUUGCUUGUUUAUGGUCAGUUGUCAUUUACUGCCUCCCUGUAUUGAUUGACUUAUUGCCCCUGCAUUUAACUCAAUAGGAGCUGGAAAGGAAGGAAUCUGAAAUUCUGUUUCCUAAGGCAGCCAGUUGUAGGGAUGGAUUUUCUAUAUCAGGCCAAAGAAAAAACCGUCCAAAGGCUGCCUGUCUUUUUUAAGUAGUCAGCAAAGAGGAAGGGAGCCUCUGUGUACGGUCUAGGUGUGAAGGUGUCACACACUGAGGAGCAAAAUGAAGAUGGGAAGACUGAGGGACUUGAGGCUCUGAUCAGUUGGAUCUUUCUGCUGGAGCUGUAUUGUUUGAUCUAAUACGUUGUGAUUCAGCAUAAUUUCAAACCCAUUAUGAAGUCAACAUUGUACAAAGCAUUUUGAAAACAAUAUUAAAAUUUUUUUCACUUAACACUAUUCUUCCCUUGUAUCGGUUUUGAUGAUUAGAUAAGUCUCUCACUGUACUACAAAAAUUUAUUUUCUUUGGGUUAAUUCAACAUUCUGCA
Molecule: long non-coding RNA, 755 nt
Filed under: Mustela putorius furo (domestic ferret)
Lineage: Eukaryota; Metazoa; Chordata; Mammalia; Carnivora; Mustelidae
Description: lncRNA (ENSMPUG00000026977.1)
Source: RNAcentral